GGACACCACAAUCUUCCUUCCAGCAGGUCCAUCCUCUUUUACUGGAGGUGGAGCAGGUUCAAAUAUCUUCUGCUGCAUAGCUGGUGGAAGAGUUGAAUAUAAAGGCACCACUUUCACAGGCCCUACCUGGUCGCCAAGAUUUGCAAUUUCUUUAUUUAUUUUGCGACAUGCAUCUUCAAUUUCCUCCUCACCAGUGAGGAAAACAAGUAUAUCACCUGGAGGUUCACAC
This 229-nucleotide unclassified non-coding RNA is filed under the name Hevea brasiliensis (rubber tree). The record is from RNAcentral. Lineage: Eukaryota; Viridiplantae; Streptophyta; Magnoliopsida; Malpighiales; Euphorbiaceae.